RNAcentral lists this ribosomal RNA (443 nucleotides) under uncultured bacterium. RNAcentral's name for it is "partial 16S ribosomal RNA". It matches the Rfam family "Bacterial small subunit ribosomal RNA", at positions 338 to 795 of the family's 1533-position model. The record is from RNAcentral.
CCUACGGGAGGCUGCAGUGGGGAAUAUUGGGCAAUGGGCGCAAGCCUGACCCAGCAACGCCGCGUGAAGGAAGAAGGCUUUCGGGUUGUAAACUUCUUUUGACAGGGACGAAGCUAGUGACGGUACUUGACGAAUAGGCAACGGCUAAUAACGCGCCAGCAGCCGCGGCAAUACGAAGGUGGCAAGCGUUAUCCGGAUUUAUUGGGUGUAAGGGGCGUGUAGGCGGGACUGCAAGUCAGAUGUGAAAACCACGGGCUCAACCUGUGGCCUGCAUAUGAUACUGUAGUUCUUGAGUACUGGAGAGGCAAACGGAAUUCCUAGUGUAGCGGUGAAAUGCGUAGAUAUUAGGAGGAACACCAGUGGCGAAGGCGGUCUGCUGGACAGCAACUGACGCUGAGGCGCGAAGGCGUGGGGAGCAAACAGGAUUAGAUACCCGAGUAGUC